UUUAUAAAGAAUUAUCUUUUUUUAGAAA
RNAcentral lists this transfer RNA (28 nucleotides) under Periphyllus allogenes. RNAcentral describes it as "partial tRNA-Leu". The record is from RNAcentral. Lineage: Eukaryota; Metazoa; Arthropoda; Insecta; Hemiptera; Aphididae.